UGGGGAAUUUUGCGCAAUGGGCGAAAGCCUGACGCAGCAACGCCGCGUGGAGGAUGAAGGCCUUCGGGUCGUAAACUCCUGUCAGGGGGGACGAAAGUUGGGAAACCAAUCUGACUGUACCCCCUGAGGAAGCCACGGCUAACUCCGUGCCAGCAGCCGCGGUAAUACGGAGGUGGCAAGCGUUGUUCGGAAUUACUGGGCGUAAAGGGCUCGUAGGUGGCCACCUAAGUCCGACGUGAAAUCCCUCGGCUCAACCGGGGAACUGCGUCGGAUACUGGGUGGCUUGAAUCCGGGAGAGGGACGUGGAAUUCCAGGUGUAGCGGCGAAAUGCGUAGAUAUCUGGAGGAACACCGGUGGCGAAGGCGGCGUCCUGGACCGGUAUUGACACUGAGGAGCGAAAGCCAGGGGAGCAAACGGGAUUAGAUACCCCGGUAGUCCUGGCCCUAAACGAUGAGUGCUUGGUGUGGCGGGUAUCGAUCCCCGCCGUGCCGGAGCUAACGCGUUAAGCACUCCGCCUGGGGAGUACGGUCGCAAGGCUG
RNAcentral lists this ribosomal RNA (539 nucleotides) under uncultured bacterium. RNAcentral describes it as "bacterial SSU rRNA". It matches the Rfam family "Bacterial small subunit ribosomal RNA", at positions 355 to 896 of the family's 1533-position model. The record is from RNAcentral.